GAUAUAUACCGAGGCAUUGUGCAAUAUUAAUGCAGUGGCACUAUUUUUGGGUGGAAUGAAUAAGCGGGCUCCAGCCUGGCAGGACUCCAGAAUGUUGGGAUUAAUUGCUGCAGUGGGUGAUUCAGCACCUGCAGUAGAACACGGUGGCAAUCUGAAUCUGAGCCACAUGGUGACUGUUUGAUCAUAUUUCACUGCCAGAUCUGCAGAGGCUGCAACCAACAAUUUGCCCACUGAAAAACAAGCUUUCUCCAGCCAGACUCUGAUAUAGUAUAAGGCCACCUCCACAAGCCCCAUCAUGACACAUUCUGACAGAUGUAUUAAGAUAGAAAAGACUAAAACCAGACACACACAUAUGUACACUUUAAAAGAGAAAUCUAUCUUAUUUUCUUCUGCUGACUGGCUGCCUUAAAUUGGAAAGAAUAGCAUCCACGUUUUUGAGCAGAGUGUGUUCAUAUGCCCAAAUGCCAUGAGUCCUUUGCGUCAUGCACUUUUGGUGGUCCAAGCAAGCAGGCAGUGCAACCAAAUCUCCAGAGUAAGUAACAAUCAGGAAGAUUGUUUUCACCAAAAUUGCACUGCACUGUUUGAUUGUUACUAACGCGCCCACUUCCGUGCCCCUCCUUCCACGUGGUUCAUAGGGCGACACCGUAACACCCAACAGGAACUGGUGAGAAAAUAACCUGGGUGUAGUGGGUGAAAAUGCCACUUUAGCAGCACAAAAGCACCCACAUACUCUAUGCAAUGUCACGAAAAUAGAGCCCUCUGUCCUUUCAGAGAUGUUCUGAGACGUACCAGGGUACAUAAAAGUCAGAAAUGGAGAGGGAAAAAUAGGUUGAAAUACACCUCUCUCACCUACCCACAGAACCAGUUGAAAUCAUGAAAGAUUGGCGACUUGCAGAAUCCAAACAAGAUGCCUUUUGUAAAAGUAAAUUUGUCUUGUUGGGUGUGUUCAAAUGAAUACUAUAUCUCUAUGAUGUGAUUACUUCCUAAAAAAUGUUAAUUCACACUACAUGGGAUUCAAUGCAGGUCAACGCAUCUACAGGAUAUACAAUGCAUUUUGUAUUUGGGAAGUGCACUUCUGUGGUCCAUGCAUUACAGGUUGAAAAGCAGAAAUAGAGGUUCCUGCUCCCAUAUUUUCCAGUUCAGGCCCAGCUUUGUCACCACUGUUUCAGUUCUUUGUAAUUCUUGCACUGGGUCACUCACUGCAGGCCACUCAAUCACUCCUUCACUCGCCGUGUUCUCCAUGACAAAUAGAUGUGUUCCUGCCAAGCUCUUCUUAAACAAAUGAAUGUGUUUUCUGCCACCAGACCAGACCUGGGGGUUUUCUUUUUUUUUUCCUUUUUUGCUGAAACAGGCAAAACACCUUGUUGUUUGUCACUUCAGAGGUCUACUGUAUAUCUCACUCCUCUGGGCGAUAGGUAUUUUUCAGGAAGACAGAUUAAUACAUCAGUUUCCUAUUCUCUGCUCACUGCACUACAAAUAACCUGCUCAUAUCUAUACAUAGCCUGCCUUCUGCACUUGUUUUAGAAGAUAAACCACACCUAAGCACUGUUCCCCCUGACUUACUUAAAUCUGUUAUCUUGCUAUUUUAUUUCCCUUUUAUUACAAAGACAGAAAAACACCUGAGUUUCUUUGCAUGAUAAAUACACAUAUUGUAUAUGUUAGCCAGAACAGAAAGAGAACAGAAGACGCUGGAGUGGUGUAAAUCACACACUGAUUUGUAUUUCAUUCCUAUACCCUUCCAAAACAUGUGAACAUAAUAUAUCCAACAAACCCUAACUCCAAUAAACUAAGCUAUUUGUUAGCACACUCCAAAA
Long non-coding RNA from Micropterus salmoides (largemouth bass), 1814 nucleotides. RefSeq lists it as uncharacterized. NCBI's taxonomy places the organism in Eukaryota, Metazoa, Chordata, Actinopteri, Centrarchiformes, Centrarchidae. The record is from RefSeq and is a predicted model, not a curated record. The transcript has 2 exons.